UUCCUUGAGGGGGCUGUCGCCUAUGCUGUGAUCGGCCGACAAACCAUCCAUUUAAAUUACCUAAUUGCUGUGAUCCUCACUGGUGUGGCUGGGUUAUUUCCUUUAAUCGAUAUGUGUCUUCAAAGAAAGCACUUCAAAGGCAAGAGGGCCAGAAAGAACGUGCUGAGUCCUCCUCCACCAAAAGAAAAGGGGCCGGAGGGAGAGAAGCCGAAGGAGGGAGACAAGGAAAAAGCCAAGAAGUGACCUGCAGGGGAACCCGCUGGCAGAAAUGGCAGUGUAUUUUCUGGCAAAACACGUUUCCACUGUCUACUUGCCUUCUUUCUAAGAUAGUUUUCUUUUCCAUUCUAAUGACCACCUUUGCUUGGGAAAAAAAUAUC
This 377-nucleotide long non-coding RNA is filed under the name Dasypus novemcinctus (nine-banded armadillo). RNAcentral describes it as "lncRNA (ENSDNOG00000051384.1)". The record is from RNAcentral. Lineage: Eukaryota; Metazoa; Chordata; Mammalia; Cingulata; Dasypodidae.